GAUGAACGCUGGCGGCGUGCUUAAUACAUGCAAGUCGAGCGAACGGACCAGGAGCUUGCUGCUCUGAUGUUAGCCGCGCACGUGUGAGUAACACGUGGAUAAUCUACCUAUAAGACUGGGAUAAUUUCGAGAAACCGGAUCUAACCCCGUAUAAUAUUUUGCACCACAUGGUUUAUUAGUAAAAUUCGGUCUUUCUGUCUCUUCUCGAUGGUUCCGCGCUGCAUUAGCUAGUUGUGAAGGUAACGGCGUAGCAAGGCAACUAUGCGUAGCCGAGGUGAGAGGGGGAUCGGCCACACGGGAAGUGAGACGCGGUACAGACUCCUACGAGAGGGAGCAGUAGGGUAGGUGAGGCACUGGGCGAAAGUAUGACGGAGCGAAGGGGAGUGAGUGACAAAAGUCUUGGGAUCGUAAAAAUCUGUUUUUAGGGAAGAACAUAUGUGGACGUAAAUGUGGACAUCGUGACGGUACCUAGUCAGAAAGCAACGGCUAACUACGUG
Molecule: ribosomal RNA, 497 nt
Filed under: uncultured bacterium
Lineage: Bacteria
Description: partial 16S ribosomal RNA
Rfam family: Bacterial small subunit ribosomal RNA
Source: RNAcentral